RNAcentral lists this ribosomal RNA (126 nucleotides) under Astragalus peregrinus subsp. warionis. RNAcentral describes it as "partial 18S ribosomal RNA". It matches the Rfam family "Eukaryotic small subunit ribosomal RNA", at positions 1692 to 1831 of the family's 1831-position model. The record is from RNAcentral. Lineage: Eukaryota; Viridiplantae; Streptophyta; Magnoliopsida; Fabales; Fabaceae.
GGGAUUGCGGCGAAGUGGGCGGUUCGCUUCCCGCGACGUUUUGAGAAGUCCACUGAACCUUAUCAUUUAGAGGAAGGAGAAGUCGUAACAAGGUUUUCCGUAGGUGAACCUGCGGAAGGAUCAUUG